GGGGCAGUAGCGUAGUUGGGAGCGCGUCAGACUGAAGUCAAACUUCAAUCUCAAAUCUGAAGGUCACCGGUUCGAUCCCGGUCUACCCCA
Molecule: non-coding RNA, 90 nt
Organism: Phialemonium atrogriseum
Lineage: Eukaryota; Fungi; Ascomycota; Sordariomycetes; Cephalothecales; Cephalothecaceae
Source: the annotation of a RefSeq genome assembly